AAGCUUAACUGGUAGAGCCCUUGGCGCGUAACCGAGAGAUCUGGGUUCGAUUCCCAGUCUG
RNAcentral lists this transfer RNA (61 nucleotides) under Cotesia glomerata. RNAcentral's name for it is "tRNA-Thr". The record is from RNAcentral. Lineage: Eukaryota; Metazoa; Arthropoda; Insecta; Hymenoptera; Braconidae.